GAUGAACGCUGGCGGCGUGCCUAAUACAUGCAAGUCGAGCGAACGGACGAGAAGCUUGUUCCCCUGAUGUUAGCGGCGGACGGGCGGGUAACACGUGGAUCACAUACCUUUAAGACUGGGAUAACUUCGGGAAACCGUAGCUAAUACCGGCUAAUAUUUUGAACGGCAUGGUUCAAAAGUGAAAGACGGUCUUGCUGUCACUUAUAGAUGGUUCCGCGCUGCAUUAGCUAGUUGGUAAGGUAACGGCUUACCAAGGCAACGAUGCAUAGCCGACCUGAGAGGGUGAUCGGCCACACUGGAACUGAGACACGGUCCAGACUCCUACGGGAGGCAGCAGUAGGGAAUCUUCCGCAAUGGGCGAAAGCCUGACGGAGCAACGCCGCGUGAGUGAUGAAGGUCUUCGGAUCGUAAAACUCUGUUAUUAGGGAAGAACAUAUGUGUAAGUAUCUGUGCACAUCUUGACGGUACCUAAUCAGAAAGCCACGGCUAACUACGUG
Molecule: ribosomal RNA, 497 nt
Filed under: uncultured bacterium
Lineage: Bacteria
Description: partial 16S ribosomal RNA
Rfam family: Bacterial small subunit ribosomal RNA
Source: RNAcentral